UACCCUCCGAAGGCAGGAUCCCAAACCCUGAAGCUGGAGAAGGAACCUCUGGUGCAAAUGUUUCUAUGCUCCCUCCAUCAUCUCCAUCACUGAGCUUAUCGCAGAUUAGAAUGC
Chelonia mydas (Green sea turtle) is the source of this 114-nucleotide long non-coding RNA. RefSeq lists it as uncharacterized. NCBI's taxonomy places the organism in Eukaryota, Metazoa, Chordata, Testudines, Cheloniidae. The record is from RefSeq and is a predicted model, not a curated record. The transcript has 2 exons.